GACGAACGCUGGCGGCGUGCUUAACACAUGCAAGUCGAACGGAAAGGCCCUGCUUUUGUGGGUUGCUCGAGUGGCGAACGGGUGAGUAACACGUGAGUAACCUGCCCUUGACUUUGGGAUAACUUCAUGAAAAUGGGGCUAAUACCGGAUAGGAUCUCCUGCUGCCUGUUGGUGGUUGGUAAGUUUCGGCGGUUGUGGAUGGUCUCGCUGGUUAGCAGCUUGUUGUUGGUGUAGUGGCUUCCCAAGGCUUUGACGGGUCGGAGGCGUGAGAGGGGGACCGGGCAAAUGGCGACUGAGAUACGGCCGAGACUCGUAGGGGAGGCAGGGGGAGGGAAUAUUGCACAACGGGGCGAAGCCUGAUGCAGGAACGCGGCGUGCGGGAUGAAGGGCUUUGGGGUAAGAACAGAUUUGGACUGAGACGAAGAGUGAGUGACGGUAAUGGAUAAAAAAGCAACGGCUAACUACGUG
This 468-nucleotide ribosomal RNA is filed under the name uncultured bacterium. RNAcentral's name for it is "partial 16S ribosomal RNA". It matches the Rfam family "Bacterial small subunit ribosomal RNA", at positions 28 to 507 of the family's 1533-position model. The record is from RNAcentral.